Molecule: ribosomal RNA, 252 nt
Filed under: uncultured bacterium
Lineage: Bacteria
Description: partial 16S ribosomal RNA
Rfam family: Bacterial small subunit ribosomal RNA
Source: RNAcentral
UACGUAGGAUGCGAGCGUUAUCCGGAUUUAUUGGGUUUAAAGGGUGCGUAGGCGGACUGUCAAGUCAGCGGUAAAAUUGAGAGGCUCAACCUCUUCCCGCCGUUGAAACUGGUGGUCUUGAGUGGAUGAGAAGUACGCGGAAUGCGUGGUGUAGCGGUGAAAUGCAUAGAUAUCACGCAGAACUCCGAUUGCGAAGGCAGCAUACCGGCGCCCGACUGACGCUGAGGCACGAAAGCGUGGGGAUCGAACAGG